GACGAACCGUGCGAACGUUAUUCGGAAUCACUGGGCUUAAAGCGCGUGUAGGCGGCCCGGCACGUCCGUCGCUGAAAUCCCCCGGCUCAACCGGGGAAGUGGCGUGGAUACGACCGGGCUGGAGGGGGGUAGGGGGAGCCGGAACUUCCGGUGGAGCGGUGAAAUGCGUUGAGAUCGGAAGGAACGCCCGUGGCGAAAGCGGGCUCCUGGACCCACCUGACGCUGAGACGCGAAAGCCAGGGGAGCGAACGGG
This 253-nucleotide ribosomal RNA is filed under the name uncultured bacterium. RNAcentral describes it as "partial 16S ribosomal RNA". It matches the Rfam family "Bacterial small subunit ribosomal RNA", at positions 524 to 776 of the family's 1533-position model. The record is from RNAcentral.